RNAcentral lists this long non-coding RNA (430 nucleotides) under Gallus gallus (chicken). RNAcentral describes it as "long non-coding RNA NONGGAT004226". Lineage: Eukaryota; Metazoa; Chordata; Aves; Galliformes; Phasianidae. The record is from RNAcentral.
UGCAGGCAGAACAUCAGGAGGAUGUGGGCAGGCUGAUGGGCAUCAGGGAGCUGGAGAAGGAAAUGCAUGGAGAGUUGAGUGGGGAGGAACCUGAUGAAAUUCAGCAAGGGAAACCAUCUUAAACCCAGAGCAAGAAACGUAAAGUCACUUGGCUGUCCCUUAUCUCUAAGGGCACCUGAUGCAUAAGUGGACUAGAGAAAGGAAAGAAAGAAAACAUCCAAAGAUCUACAGAUCAUCUUGCUGGCAGGCAAAAUUCUGCUGCUGCCUGCCUGCAUCUUCAGCACUGGCUCCUUUCCCAAGGGCUCUGCACUGCUGCUGACCCUGUUCUCCUGAGCAUCGCUGCCCACAUCGGAGCGCAGUGGUCUGUGUCCCCACAACAUUGGCUAAUGCAGUCUCCUUCCCCUGCUGGAAGAUGCUGGUAGUGCCCAAG